RNAcentral lists this ribosomal RNA (577 nucleotides) under Trichoderma sp. CASMB-SEF 39. RNAcentral describes it as "eukaryotic LSU rRNA". The stretch from base 213 to 366 matches the Rfam family "5.8S ribosomal RNA". Lineage: Eukaryota; Fungi; Ascomycota; Sordariomycetes; Hypocreales; Hypocreaceae. The record is from RNAcentral.
UUACACUCCAAACCCAAUGUGAACGUUACCAAUCUGUUGCCUCGGCGGGAUUCUCUGCCCCGGGCGCGUCGCAGCCCCGGAUCCCAUGGCGCCCGCCGGAGGACCAACUCAAACUCUUUUUUCUCUCCGUCGCGGCCUACGUCGCGGCUCUGUUUUAUUUUUGCUCUGAGCCAUUCUCGGCGACCCUAGCGGGCGUCUCGAAAAUGAAUCAAAACUUUCAACAACGGAUCUCUUGGUUCUGGCAUCGAUGAAGAACGCAGCGAAAUGCGAUAAGUAAUGUGAAUUGCAGAAUUCAGUGAAUCAUCGAAUCUUUGAACGCACAUUGCGCCCGCCAGUAUUCUGGCGGGCAUGCCUGUCCGAGCGUCAUUUCAACCCUCGAACCCCUCCGGGGGGUCGGCGUUGGGGAUCGGCCCCUCACCGGGCCGCCCCCGAAAUACAGUGGCGGUCUCGCCGCAGCCUCUCCUGCGCAGUAGUUUGCACACUCGCACCGGGAGCGCGGCGCGGCCACAGCCGUAAAACACCCCAAACUCUGAAAUGUUGACCUCGGAUCUGGUAGGAAUACCCGCUGAACUUAAGC